AAAUUGAAGAGUUUGAUCAUGGCUCAGAUUGAACGCUGGCGGCAGGCCUAACACAUGCAAGUCGAACGGUAACAGGAAGCAGCUUGCUGCUUUGCUGACGAGUGGCGGACGGGGGAGGAAUGUCUGGGAAACUGCCCGAUGGAGGGGGAUAACUAAUGGAAACGGUAGCUAAUACCGCAUAACGUCGCAAGACCAAAGAGCGGUCUCUUUUACACAUCUUACGCUGC
Molecule: ribosomal RNA, 227 nt
Filed under: Escherichia coli
Lineage: Bacteria; Pseudomonadati; Pseudomonadota; Gammaproteobacteria; Enterobacterales; Enterobacteriaceae
Description: partial 16S ribosomal RNA
Rfam family: Bacterial small subunit ribosomal RNA
Source: RNAcentral